AGAGUUUGAUCCUGGCUCAGGACGAACGCUGGCGGCGUGCUUAACACAUGCAAGUCGAACGGUGAAGCCCUUCGGGGUGGAUCAGUGGCGAACGGGUGAGUAACACGUGAGCAACCUACCCUCCACUCUGGGAUAACUCCGGGAAACCGGUGCUAAUACCGGAUACGAGCAUCGACCUCAUGGUCUGGUGCUGGAAAGAAUUUUGGUGGGGGAUGGGCUCGCGGCCUAUCAGCUUGUUGGUGAGGUAAUGGCUCACCAAGGCGACGACGGGUAGCCGGCCUGAGAGGGCGACCGGCCACACUGGGACUGAGACACGGCCCAGACUCCUACGGGAGGCAGCAGUGGGGAAUAUUGCACAAUGGGCGAAAGCCUGAUGCAGCGACGCCGCGUGAGGGAUGACGGCCUUCGGGUUGUAAACCUCUUUCAGCUCCGAAGAAGCGAGAGUGACGGUAGGAGCAGAAGAAGCACCGGCUAACUACGUGCCAGCAGCCGCGGUAAUACGUAGGGUGCAAGCGUUGUCCGGAAUUAUUGGGCGUAAAGAGCUCGUAGGUGGUUCGUCGCGUCUGCUGUGAAAGUCCGAGGCUUAACCUCGGAUCUGCAGUGGGUACGGGCGGACUAGAGUGCGGUAGAGGAGAUGGGAAUUCCUGGUGUAGCGGUGGAAUGCGCAGAUAUCAGGAGGAACACCGGUGGCGAAGGCGCAUCUCUGGGCCGUAACUGACGCUGAGGAGCGAAAGCAUGGGGAGCAAACAGGCUUAGAUACCCUGGUAGUCCAUGCCGUAAACGUUGGGCGCUAGGUGUGGGGUCCUAUCCACGGAUUCCGUGCCGCAGCUAACGCAUUAAGCGCCCC
RNAcentral lists this ribosomal RNA (847 nucleotides) under uncultured Actinomycetes bacterium. RNAcentral describes it as "bacterial SSU rRNA". It matches the Rfam family "Bacterial small subunit ribosomal RNA", at positions 8 to 870 of the family's 1533-position model. Lineage: Bacteria; Bacillati; Actinomycetota; Actinomycetes. The record is from RNAcentral.